Molecule: ribosomal RNA, 463 nt
Filed under: uncultured bacterium
Lineage: Bacteria
Description: partial 16S ribosomal RNA
Rfam family: Bacterial small subunit ribosomal RNA
Source: RNAcentral
GAUGAACGCUGACAGAAUGCUUAACACAUGCAAGUCGAUGGGGAAGUGGUGCUUGCACCAUGGUAACCAUGGCGGACGGGUGAGUAACGCGUAAGGAACUUGCCUGCGGGACUGGGAUAACAGCAGGAAACUGCUGAUAAUACCGGAUAAGGUCAUUAAGCUGCAUAGCUUAGUGAUGAAAGGAGACGCCUGCGGAGAGCCUUGCGUCCUAUUAGCUAGUUGGAGGGGUAACGGCCCACCAAGGCGAAGAUAGGUAGCCGGCCUGAGAGGGUGGACGGCCACAAGGGGACUGAGAUACGGCCCUUACUCCUACGGGAGGCAGCAGUGGGGAAUAUUGGACAAUGGGGGCAACCCUGAUCCAGCAAUUCUGUGUGCACGAAGAUGGUUUUCGGAUUGUAAAGUGCUUUCAGCAGGGAAGAAGGAAGUGACGGUACCUGCAGAAGAAGCGACGGCUAAAUACGUG